AAGCGCUUGCGGUCAGACUUGGCCGUCGUUGCUCGGCGGGGUCUUGUGCCCCGUUUGUUCUUCGGCGGCUGGGCCAGCAUCGGCUCGGGCGGUUGGAUAAAGGCUGUGGGAACGUGGCUCUCUCCGGGGAGUGUUAUAGCCCAUGGUGCAAUGCAACCUGCCUGGGUCGAGGUCUGCGCAUCUGCUAGGAUGCUGGCGUAAUGACCUCAAGCGG
RNAcentral lists this ribosomal RNA (214 nucleotides) under Magnaporthaceae sp. RNAcentral's name for it is "partial large subunit ribosomal RNA". Lineage: Eukaryota; Fungi; Ascomycota; Sordariomycetes; Magnaporthales; Magnaporthaceae. The record is from RNAcentral.